This 440-nucleotide ribosomal RNA is filed under the name uncultured bacterium. RNAcentral's name for it is "partial 16S ribosomal RNA". It matches the Rfam family "Bacterial small subunit ribosomal RNA", at positions 338 to 795 of the family's 1533-position model. The record is from RNAcentral.
CCUACGGGUGGCAGCAGUAGGGAAUAUUGCUCAAUGGGGGAAACCCUGAAGCAGCCACGCCGCGUGGAGGAUGAAGGUUUUCGGAUUGUACACUCCUUUUGUUAGAGAAGAUAAUGACGGUAUCUAACGAAUAAGCACCGGCUAACUCCGUGCCAGCAGCCGCGGUAAUACGGAGGGUUCAAGCGUUCAUCGGAAUCACUGGUCGUAAAGAGCGCGUAGGCGGGAUAGCAAGUCAGAUGUGAAAUCCUAUGGCUUAACCAUAGAACUGCAUUUGAAACUGGUAUUCUAGAGUAUGGGAGAGGUAGGUGGAAUUCCUGGUGUAGGGGUAAAAUCCGUAGAGAUCAAGAGGAAUACUCAUUGCGAAGGCGACCCGCUAGAAAAAAACUGACGCUGAUGUGCGAAAGCGUGGGGAGCAAACAGGAUUAGAUACCCGUGUAGUC